GACGUAGGGCGCGAGCGUUGUCCGGAUUUAUUGGGCGUAAAGAGCUCGUAGGCGGCUUGUCGCGUCGAAUGUGAAAACUCGGGGCUCAACUCCGAGCUUGCAUUCGAUACGGGCAGGCUAGAGUUCGGUAGGGGAGACUGGAAUUCCUGGUGUAGCGGUGAAAUGCGCAGAUAUCAGGAGGAACACCAGUGGCGAAAGCGGCUUCCUGGUCCAGCACCGACGUUCAGGCACGAAAGCGUGGGGAGCAAACAGG
This 253-nucleotide ribosomal RNA is filed under the name uncultured bacterium. RNAcentral describes it as "partial 16S ribosomal RNA". It matches the Rfam family "Bacterial small subunit ribosomal RNA", at positions 524 to 776 of the family's 1533-position model. The record is from RNAcentral.